Salvia splendens (bonfire salvia) is the source of this 1300-nucleotide long non-coding RNA. RefSeq lists it as uncharacterized. The transcript is spliced from 6 exons. The record is from RefSeq and is a predicted model, not a curated record. NCBI's taxonomy places the organism in Eukaryota, Viridiplantae, Streptophyta, Magnoliopsida, Lamiales, Lamiaceae.
UUUAUGCUCCCUCGGCCCCAAAGUGGUUUGUCAGUUUUGUGAAACCCUUUAUCAUAUCAAAAUACGCCAGGAAUCAAAUGCUAUACCGAGGGAUUACCGACGGACAGGAAUCCCUUGGUGAUUAACGACAGCAUACCGAGGGAUUCUCCGUCGGUAUUAUUUCCCCCCUUUUGUUCCAUACGGUGUUUUUAUUUAAGCUUUUAAUCUUAAAUUCUUUACCGACGGAAUUAGAUCCGUCGGUAGUAAUCAGUAGCAUAAUAUCGUUUCCCCCCGCCCCAAAAAACUAAUCUCGAAAAACAUUCGUCCUUGAACAACCACCAUCGUCCGCCGAGCUACAUACAGCCUCCAUCGUCCGCCGAGCUACAGCCACUGCCGUCGCCGAGCUACAGCCACUACCGUCACCGAGCUACUUCCACAUCUGUCGCCGAUUGUGUCGCCUUCACCGUUGCCCCUUCGCCGAAGAAUUUUUGAAUAUUGAAUUCAAGCUCCAAUAUUUGAGAAUUAAGAAAUCAUUAAUGUUGACACGAAGAAGCCUUGAAGAUUGCUCAAGGAGUAGAGAUUUUAGAGAACGUGUAUAUGGUAGCUCAAGAGAAGAUCAAAGAUUUGGAAUAAGAUGAAGAAGGGUCUAAGAUAGCAUUUGUGGCAUCUGCAACUGCCUUUGAGAAGUGGACCACACGAUCUGGAUACGCCGGACAACCCAAACGCCUUUGAACUUCAACACAUUCCCAUUCUUCAAUGCUUCUAAUUUUAUUAUUUUAAUUGUAUCUCACUCAAUUUAUUUUUUAUGCAACAUAAAUGUUGUGUUUAACUAAUACUCCACUAAUAGCCGAGAUCUCUUAUUUUAUGCAUGUACAGUGAUGAAUCUAUUGCUGCAUAUGAACCGAGCUCUCGAAGUGUUUGUCGCUUAGUAAUAUUAUCCAGAUGUCUCUUAUUCAUGGAGCAAAGCUAAGCUACAAGGAAAUUGUUGUUGAGGACUGAGGCGAGCAGCGUUGUUAAAAUCACGCUAGGGGCGUGCCUGUGGCCUUAUAUAUAAUUCCAUUCGUAUUUGAUUAUAGAACCAGGCAGGCAGAAUGCCUUCCAAGACCAGUUCUGUGAUGAGAGCGAGUCGUUCAGAGAUGUUUUCGACGGGAGGAAACAUUGAAUUGGGCUUGAAAUAGAAGAAUAAUAGCAUUUGAUUUUGUUUUAAAUGGGCAGAUCACCUUAUUUUAAAAUUGUUGUAAAUUGUAGCUUUGUUUUCUGCGACUUGCAACCAAAACUUAAGAUUCACUUUAAAUAAAUCGGUUACCUUUCAUUUGCGUGA